This 510-nucleotide long non-coding RNA is filed under the name Malus domestica (apple). RNAcentral describes it as "long non-coding RNA (MDOM_LNC012226)". Lineage: Eukaryota; Viridiplantae; Streptophyta; Magnoliopsida; Rosales; Rosaceae. The record is from RNAcentral.
AUUAAUGCCUAGACGUUUGAAAAUUAAGAAAAGGUGCCUAAACCUGCUGAGGCGCCCGUCUAAACCCCCUAGGCACUCAUCUAGCCCGUACAAACUAUCCUAGACAACUGCCUAGGUUGCAAUUCACUUAGAAAAUAGAUAACUUUCCUUUUGCAUUUUAUUGUUUUUAAUAAAUUGUAAGAGACUUAUUGAACACUUAAAUAAACACACAUUAUAUGUUUGCUCCCCAUGUUUUCAUUAUGUUCCAAUACUUCAUAAUAUAUAUGUCAUUCUAUUUUCUAGUUUAUGAUGAAAUUAUAUAUAUUUUAAGUAUAAACAGACAUUUAUUUACAAGAAAUACAAUAGAGUUACUUAAAUCUGCCUAGUUCGCCUAGGCGCCCGCUUAGCCACCUAGUCGCCUAGGCACUAGGCCCCAGCUCGCAGCUCGACUAGCGCCUAGUGUCUUUUAGAACCUUGGUACUAUUUUAUUCAAUGUCUUCCGUUAAAAUAUUUAAAUUUAUUAAUAUACAC